This is a non-coding RNA of Macaca mulatta (Rhesus monkey), 1842 nucleotides long. NCBI's taxonomy places the organism in Eukaryota, Metazoa, Chordata, Mammalia, Primates, Cercopithecidae. The record is from RefSeq and is a predicted model, not a curated record.
AGAGCUGCUGUAGGGGGCGGCUGUGUGGUCCUAGCUCCUUGCAUCUUUUUCUAGGCCCAUCAGCCUCGGGCCAGGAGGCAGAGGCGUUUUAGGCUCCGAAGUCUGAAGCCGGGAGGGCAGGCAAGGGAGACAGCUUUUAACCAAAAAAAGCCCUUGUGGAUAGUGGCUUAGUGCCGUUGGUCGUGAAGGAGGGAGGCCACCGGCGGGUUUAUGUGGCUUCUGCCUGAGACGGCCGUUUUUCCCGUUAUAAGCGGGGGAAGACGAAAAUGGCCGCUGCGUCCCCGCGGUGUUGGGGGAGGGGAACGAUAUCUUAUUUCGGCGUUGCUCUCCUGCGAAGGUCCGCCGCAGCCAUCUUGGGCUGGCGGGCUGGGCGCGCUGCCAGAGGCACAAAAUGGCGGAGGAGCCGCGCGGCAACGCGGGCUCGACCCGCCGCGGGCCGCGCUUCAUAAGGUCGCGUGGUGGGGUGGAAUGAGACAGACGACGUUCUUUGGGGUCUUUGGGCAGGUGUUUAAGUUAACGAAGGACCGUCUUUGCCUCCACGGAAAGGACGGAGUCUGGGAUGUCCUUGGGGCCUCUUAAGAUGAAAGCUAAUCUGAGGCCGACUAAGUUUGGGCCCGUUAGGUGGAGGGGAUUGCGUGAGGGCUUUGUGUUUGGCCUAAAUGAAGCGCUUUUCUCUGAUAAAGGGCUUCCCAGGCAAAAGUCUGUAUCAGUAUUCUGUUAGGACAGACCACAAAAUCGCUAAGAUGAUUUUGUGGACAUCGCUUUUCCACGGGAUUGUGAAGGAGAAAUUGGCGGGCAACAAUUUACGGCGCCGUUAUUUCCUUUGUUUUGAGGCGUUCUAAUACUUAGAACCACAGCGUGUGUUGGGUACACUUUUCCUUCCCUUAAGUUUCCACCUUUUAAAGGUGUUUAGUGAGGGUUAAACUGAAUUGCAGGAACAAGACAGUUCUAGGAUUUAAGAAGCAUACGUAGCUGGUCUGUGAGGCUCUGGGUAUUAGAUUCGGAAAGCAUUGAAUGGUGCGAAGAUACGAGGCUUGCUAGAAUUAAGAGAAAUCUGUUAGAAGGGUAAUAGCAAAGCACCAUAGAAAUUGAUUUUUGAGGCUGUUACGGGAAUAAUUUGUGCUUUAAAAAAAAAUUGUUACCUAAGUUUCCCCUUGUUGGUAGAGCUACCUUAAGAUCUGAAUAUGAUUUAUCAGAAUGCUUUAAUAUUGUGGAUAUUGUCUGGAACUAGAACGUGACAUUUUCAAGCUGACAUUACAAGUGAUUUUAUAAGGUAAGUACCACUGGUUUUGCCAAAAGGUUGAAGAGGAAUUUAGGUGGUGGGGGAAGUGUUAAUGGGAUUUGCCUUGCACAGCCUUUUUUCCUUCUUUCUCUACAACGAAACUCAAAUCUAGGUGGUAAACAUUAAUGCUUUCAUAGUUAUUUUGCCCAGGACUAGGACAGAGCUACAGUUGUGUAUAUUUAUUGAGCCUUAGCGUUAUGUUUUAUGUUGAUUAGUGUUUUUACAUAUGCGACUGUUAACAAGGCAUGGUGACUGAUGUUUGGAAUUUUAAGUGUUUUGACCCAUGUUAGUAUUUGGGGGUGUGGGAUAUGUAGAAUUAGAUAUUGAAAUCACUUAGUAUUGUUUUUAAACUGCAAGCCAAAGCAAGUUCUUCACCAUAGCAAAUUACAGUCUUGAAAUUCCCCCAAAAUCUCUGCUUUGAAUUGGGUUUUGGAGGUUACACUGAGAUUGAUGUUAUCAACGUAGAUUGUUAUGUGACAGUUUGGAUGAGGGGCCCCUUUUUCUCUUUAAUUUUUGUGGUUAGAAAUUAGGUUAAAAGGCAGUCUUCUGAAAAGUCAAAA